RNAcentral lists this ribosomal RNA (591 nucleotides) under uncultured Burkholderia sp. RNAcentral describes it as "bacterial SSU rRNA". It matches the Rfam family "Bacterial small subunit ribosomal RNA", at positions 418 to 1003 of the family's 1533-position model. Lineage: Bacteria; Pseudomonadati; Pseudomonadota; Betaproteobacteria; Burkholderiales; Burkholderiaceae. The record is from RNAcentral.
UCGGGUUGUAAAGCACUUUUGUCCGGAAAGAAAACCUUCGAGUUAAUACCUUGGGGGGAUGACGGUACCGGAAGAAUAAGCACCGGCUAACUACGUGCCAGCAGCGCGGUAAUCGUAGGGUGCGAGCGUUAAUCGGAAUUACUGGGCGUAAAGCGUGCGCAGGCGGUUCGUUAAGACAGAUGUGAAAUCCCCGGGCUUAACCUGGGAACUGCAUUUGUGACUGGCGAGCUAGAGUAUGGCAGAGGGGGGUAGAAUUCCACGUGUAGCAGUGAAAUGCGUAGAGAUGUGGAGGAAUACCGAUGGCGAAGGCAGCCCCCUGGGCCAAUACUGACGCUCAUGCACGAAAGCGUGGGGAGCAAACAGGAUUAGAUACCCUGGUAGUCCACGCCCUAAACGAUGUCAACUAGUUGUUGGGUCUUCAUUGACUUAGUAACGUAGCUAACGCGUGAAGUUGACCGCCUGGGGAGUACGGUCGCAAGAUUAAAACUCAAAGGAAUUGACGGGGACCCGCACAAGCGGUGGAUGAUGGUGGAUUAAUUCGAUGCAACGCGAAAAACCUUACCUACCCUUGACAUGGUCGGAACCCUGCUG